AUUUAAAUAGUUUAAUAAAAAUGCGAACUUGUGGCGUUUGAGAUGUAGAUACACUACUUUAAAUA
Molecule: transfer RNA, 65 nt
Filed under: Ocypode stimpsoni
Lineage: Eukaryota; Metazoa; Arthropoda; Malacostraca; Decapoda; Ocypodidae
Description: tRNA-His
Source: RNAcentral